AGGUCCCUGGCGGCAGCUCUGCUCACAGACCUUUGAUCUGCUCCCGGUGAGUUGGGCCUCUUUUCCCACCACUUGCACUGGGAAGAGCUGUUGUAAUUGGGCAUCGUGGCUGAAUGUCUGGAGACCAAAUGACAGCACGAGAAUUUAACAGGCAGGAGCCAUGAGGACCCCCCCCCAGUUCCCUGUGAAGCACCCCAAGGCUUUCAGUCAUCUCUCGGAAUUCAUGGCCGGCACUGCCUUGCUUUACUGUAUGGCCUGAGGAUGUACAGAGCCCACGUUCUGCCGCUUGAUGGUGUUACAUCCUGUUUAAGGAUUUUCAGCAGGUCCCCUCUUCCUGGGGGGCCUAACCGUGACCUCUGGGGCUCCUGGGGUGAGACCAUUCGGCCCACUCGCUGUCACCUCCAGCCCAGCGGCCCACAGGAAGCUCGGGAGAGGACGGUGGCGUCCACAGGGCCAUGGCCGUCUCACCUAAACCACAGUCGUUAGGCUCCGGUCGCCUCGUGCCCUGGACUUCGGCUAUGCAUGAGUGCUAGCAGCUGUAAAUCAGGAAUCGGUUUUCAUUACCUUGAUUAAGACAUCAUGACGUAUGUUGCUGUCCACACCCAAACACUAUCAUUAUAAUAUUCUUGGAGCAAAACCUGUCCCUGCAGAGUAAUGUAAACUGCUCACUGCACUUUCUUCACCUGGAUCAAAUCCCACUGAAAUCGACAUAUUACUUCCUCUGUUCUCACUGGGAAAUUGGUGGGAAUCUUACCCGAAAGCCGUUGGCCCACUGGGAAUAAAACACUGGCAGACGAAA
This is a long non-coding RNA of Aethalodelphis obliquidens (Pacific white-sided dolphin), 799 nucleotides long. RefSeq lists it as uncharacterized. The record is from RefSeq and is a predicted model, not a curated record. The transcript has 2 exons. NCBI's taxonomy places the organism in Eukaryota, Metazoa, Chordata, Mammalia, Artiodactyla, Delphinidae.